Molecule: ribosomal RNA, 253 nt
Filed under: uncultured bacterium
Lineage: Bacteria
Description: partial 16S ribosomal RNA
Rfam family: Bacterial small subunit ribosomal RNA
Source: RNAcentral
UACGUAGGGGGCAAGCGUUGUCCGGAAUCAUUGGGCGUAAAGAGCGCGUAGGCGGCCCGAUAAGUCCGCUGUGAAAGUCAAGGGCUCAACCCUUGAAUGCCGGUGGAUACUGUCGGGCUAGAGUCCGGAAGCGGCGAGUGGAAUUCCUGGUGUAGCGGUGAAAUGCGCAGAUAUCAGGAGGAACACCAAUGGCGAAGGCAGCUCGCUGGGCAGGUACUGACGCUGAGGCGCGAAAGCGUGGGGAGCAAACAGG